CUAGUUCCAUCCAUUUGCAUGCACAUUUCAAGAUGUCAUUGUUUUGUUUGUUUUUUGUUUGUUUUUUGUUUGUUUGUUUUCCUCUGACUAGUACUUCAAUGUGAAAAUAUGCCAUAUUUUCAUUAUCCAUUGUUCAGGUGAGGGUCAUCUAGGUUGUUUUCAGUUCAUGGUUAUUACAAAUAAUGCUGCUAUGAACAUAGCUGAACAGAUGUCCUUGUUGUAUGAUUGAGCAUCUUUUGGGUAUAUGCCCAGCUCUCUGGUACCAACUUCUGUUAUUGUGUUUGACCUGAUGAUAUAGCAAGUCUGAUAAAGAAAGCAUUUAGUUGGAGCUUGCUACCUUGUGAGAAGUUACCCCCAUCAUCUUGGUAGGGGCCAUGGAGACAUGCAAGCAGACAUAGUGGUGGAGGAAUGGUUGAGAGUUCCUUGGGAUCUGUAGGGAACAGAAAGAGUGAAGCACUGGGCCUGCAUUUGGCUUCUGAAAUCUUAAAAUGCCCGCUAUGACACACUUCCUUUAAUAAGGUCAUACUUCUUAAUCCUUUUCAAAUAGAACCACUCCCAAUUGACUAAGUGUUCAGAUAUUGGCAUCUUUCUUGUCAGUUCUUAUUCAAACCACCAAACAUGGUAAGAUGACUAAGGAAAGAGUUGCUUGAAGCAGGUGCUCAUGUUCCACCCAUAGUCAGAAAGCAGGAGACAGAAGAAUUAUUGUUUUCAGGCAAUUUUCUUCCAUAUACUAUGCAGGAUCUCACCAAAUAAAUGCUCCCAACCACAAUCAACAGGUUUCUGGCCUCAAUUAAUCAAUAUAACCUCUGCAUCUUCAUUUGAAUUUUUAUACUGAAAAGUUCUUAAUUUAAAUAUUAAGUUCCUUAGUAAGUAAUUUAAUGACCCAACUCAAAGAUAUAGAAAAAAAAGGAUGAGCCUAUUUUAAAUACAGCAUAGAUGAGAACUAAUGAAUAAUAAAAAUUAGGAUAGAAUUCAUGAAGUAAAAUCUUUAAUAAUAAAAGAAUUAAUCAAACAGUUGGUUCUUUAAUAAGUUGAAUGAGAUUCCUGAUGCCUAAUCAAAGUUAACAGAAAGGGGGUGAAUGAGAAACUUGAGUGAAGAGAGACCCAGACUAAAUUAAUAAAACUCAGUACAGAAGGAAGUGAUUAAAUCAGGUUCCAUUGAAAUCCACAAGAUCAUCAGGACAAACUUCAAAAUAUUAUAUUUCAACAAGUUAGGAAAUAUAGUAAAGAAUAAAUUACUGAAUACUUAUGGAUGACUCAAAAAAUAGCCAGGAAAAAAAUCACCCUGAGCAGACACAUCACAACUAUACUCAUCAGACUCAAUGUUCCUCUUUUCUACUUCCUGUGCAUCUCUUUAUCUGUCCUCCUGACUCCCGCUUACUCUCUUUAGUUUUGUCCUAUGUUCACUUCCUCUCACCUGUUUUCUUGCUCUGCAUUUUGACUUAUGGUUGAUUUUAUUUAGCCCUGUUUACAAUAUUCAAGGAGAAUGCUCUUGUGUUAAGUGUGUGUGUGUGUGUGUGUGUGUGUGUGUAGAGUUGAGCCACAAUAUAACAAACAAGCAGGUUUUCCAGUGAAUAAGGCAAUCUUAGGGUAAACAAUGUGACCAAAUAUCCUACAACACUGUUCACCUUCACUAAAUAUUUAUGCUAUAAGAAAUAAGUUAUAAGGUGUAUAUGUUGGACAAGAUUACUGCUAGAGCCAUAAGUAGCUUUCUACAUAAUAUAAAUUCACUAGGGGUGAAUCAGAAUGGAAUUUCAAUAAAAGUCAUUACACAAUUUAUAUCUGUAAGUUUUCUCAACAAAGAAAACUUCCUGAUAUGAAGGUGUGUCAUAUAACCUAUCAUUGGUGUUUGUAAUAGUUUCCCUUAAAUAUGAUUUUCUCAUGUUCCAUGUAAUCAGAUUUGAUUUACUUUUGUUUUACAGGAUUCUUCUCCAGUAUGAUCUUUUUGGUGUUAAAUUGCUGAUAAAAAGCAAUAAAGUCUUUAUAAUAUUCUUUGGAACAGUGUUUUUUAGUGUAAUUGUUGAGGGUGAGGAAACCUGGAAUGAACAUUGUCUAACACCGUGGUGAUCUUCUGCUUGUGUAUGGAUGCAACGUCACCUGAAUCUCACCUCCACCCCAAAUCCUCAGCAUUGUGCAGGCUCUCAUUCUGAGCUUUGUCUCUUGGUGAAUAAAGCCCUCCUUAUGAAA
This is a long non-coding RNA of Arvicola amphibius (Eurasian water vole), 2187 nucleotides long. RefSeq lists it as uncharacterized. The transcript has 2 exons. Lineage: Eukaryota; Metazoa; Chordata; Mammalia; Rodentia; Cricetidae. The record is from RefSeq and is a predicted model, not a curated record.